CAUAACCAGCACCACGCCAGGAAUAUUUCACUCCCUUUGAAAAGACGAUGGAAUAACACGUAACCGGAGUUGAGCUGGCAUCACCCAUCCGUUUUCAGAAGCCAGAGGUCCCUGGCAAGAGGCCUGGUGUAAGAACUUUGCUGGUCUCCUGGACUGACUUCAUGGAAUUCAUUAGUGGGUUCUUAGGCCAGGGAGAGGGAAGGUCCUGACUGAGCCCAGGCUCAUCCCUGGAGGGUCCAUCUCCAGCAUGAACACAGCAGCCGCCUCCCGUGUUUCAAAGAGGCCAGGCCAAAUCUUUGCACAGAUUAGUCAUUAACAAUGGAGUUAAUAAUGAUAAUGGCACAAACGUCCUGUACCUGCGUGAGCUACACUUAGGAAAAUCUGCCAGCACCAGUUUCCCCAGGAAAACCCCUAAAAUCACGAGCCAACAAGUGACCUAAGUGACGUCUAAGGAUGGGAGCGUAGUCCCGUACCUGCUUGGAUCCUUUUUGCUUCUCACCCUAACCUGAAAAGAUGCUGAUUAAAGAGACGCCCCGGGGUGUUAGACAAACAAGCAGGAAUCUGCUGCUCUCCCGUGAGGACAGAAUCCCCAGCUCUGCCUGCAGACCAGGACAAAGCUGCA
Long non-coding RNA from Passer domesticus (house sparrow), 622 nucleotides. RefSeq lists it as uncharacterized. The transcript is spliced from 4 exons. The record is from RefSeq and is a predicted model, not a curated record. NCBI's taxonomy places the organism in Eukaryota, Metazoa, Chordata, Aves, Passeriformes, Passeridae.